CCUACGGGAGGCAGCAGUAGGGAAUAUUGCUCAAUGGGGGAAACCCUGAAGCAGCAACGCCGCGUGGAGGAUGAAGGUCUUCGGAUCGUAAACCUCUGUCUGCAGGGAAGAACGGUCACUGUGCUAAUCAGCAGUGAAUUGACGGUACCUGCAAAGGAAGCACCGGCUAACUCCGUGCCAGCAGCCGCGGAAAUACGGAGGGUGCGUGCGUUAAACGGAAUUACUGGGCGUGAAGCGCUCGUGGGCGGUGUGUCAAGUCAAGCGGUAAAUCGCCGCGGCCAACGUGGGGACUGCCGUUGAAACUGGCUAACUGGAGUGGGUGAGAGGAUAGUGGAAUUCGAGGUGUAGGAGUGAAAUCCAUAGAUAUCUGGAGGAACAUCGGUGGCGAAGGCGACAAUCUGGCACCUAACUGACGCUGAGGAGCGAAAGCGUGGGUAGCGAACAGGAUUAGAUACCCGAGUAGUC
RNAcentral lists this ribosomal RNA (465 nucleotides) under uncultured bacterium. RNAcentral describes it as "partial 16S ribosomal RNA". It matches the Rfam family "Bacterial small subunit ribosomal RNA", at positions 338 to 795 of the family's 1533-position model. The record is from RNAcentral.